Molecule: ribosomal RNA, 1290 nt
Filed under: metagenome
Description: bacterial LSU rRNA
Rfam family: Bacterial large subunit ribosomal RNA
Source: RNAcentral
GCAAACCGACUCAGGUGGUUAGGUAGAGAAUACCAAGGCGAUCGAGUGAAUCGUGGUUAAGGAAUUCGGCAAAAUACCCCCGUAACUUCGGGAGAAGGGGGGCCCAGAGGGUGACGGGACUUGCUCCCCGAGCCUGAACGGUCGCAGAGACCAGGGAGAAGCGACUGUUUACUAAAAACACAGGUCCGUGCCAAGUCGCAAGACGAUGUAUACGGACUGACGCCUGCCCGGUGCUGGAACGUUAAGGGGACCGGUUAGCCUCACGGCGAAGCUGAGAACUUAAGCGCCAGUAAACGGCGGUGGUAACUAUAACCAUCCUAAGGUAGCGAAAUUCCUUGUCGGGUAAGUUCCGACCUGCACGAAUGGCGUAACGAUUUCUCCACUGUCUCAACCACGAACUCGGCGAAAUUGCACUACGAGUAAAGAUGCUCGUUACGCGCAGAAGGACGGAAAGACCCCGGGACCUUUACUACAGCUUGGUAUUGGUGUUCGGUACGGCUUGUGUAGGAUAGGUGGGAGACUGAGAAGCUGACACGCCAGUGUCGGUGGAGUCAACGUUGAAAUACCACUCUGGUCGUUCUGGAUAUCUAACCUAGGUCCGUGAUCCGGAUCAGGGACAGUGCCUGGUGGGUAGUUUAACUGGGGCGGUUGCCUCCUAAAAGGUAACGGAGGCGCCCAAAGGUUCCCUCAGCCUGGUUGGCAAUCAGGUUUUGAGUGUAAGUGCACAAGGGAGCUUGACUGUGAGACUGACAAGUCGAACAGGGACGAAAGUCGGGACUAGUGAUCCGGCGGUGGCUUGUGGAAGCGCCGUCGCUCAACGGAUAAAAGGUACCCCGGGGAUAACAGGCUGAUCUUGCCCAAGAGUCCAUAUCGACGGCAUGGUUUUGCACCUCGAUGUCGGCUCAUCGCAUCCUGGGGCUGGAGUAGGUCCCAAGGGUUGGGCUGUUCGCCCAUUAAAGCGGUACGCGAGCUGGGUUUAGAACGUCGUGAGACAGUUCGGUCCCUAUCCUCUGCGCGCGCAGGAAACUUGAGAAGGGCUGUCCCUAGUACGAGAGGACCGGGAUGGACGAACCUCUGGUGUGUCAGUUGUUCUGCCAAGAGCACCGCUGAUUAGCUACGUUCGGGAGUGAUAACCGCUGAAAGCAUCUAAGCGGGAAGCAUGCUUCAAGAUGAGGUUUCCAUGGGGUUUACCCCGAGAGGCUCCCAGCUAGACUACUGGGUUGAUAGGCCGGAUGUGGAAGUGCGGUAACGCAUGGAGCUGACCGGUACUAAUAAGCCGAUAACUUGACC